This 253-nucleotide ribosomal RNA is filed under the name uncultured bacterium. Its description in RNAcentral is "partial 16S ribosomal RNA". It matches the Rfam family "Bacterial small subunit ribosomal RNA", at positions 524 to 776 of the family's 1533-position model. The record is from RNAcentral.
UACGUAGGGGGCGAGCGUUGUCCGGAAUUACUGGGCGUAAAGAGCACGUAGGCGGUGCGUUAAGUCGGUUGUGAAAUCUCCUGGCCCAACUGGGAGGGGUCAGCCGAUACUGGCGCACUUGAGGGAGGCAGAGGGAAGCGGAAUUCCCGGAGUAGUGGUGAAAUGCGUAGAUACCGGGAGGAACACCAGUGGCGAAGGCGGCUUCCUGGGCUUUUCCUGACGCUGAGGUGCGAAGGCGUGGGUAGCAAACCGG